Molecule: ribosomal RNA, 253 nt
Filed under: uncultured bacterium
Lineage: Bacteria
Description: partial 16S ribosomal RNA
Rfam family: Bacterial small subunit ribosomal RNA
Source: RNAcentral
UACGUAGGGUGCGAGCGUUAAUCGGAAUUACUGGGCGUAAAGCGUGCGCAGGCGGUUUUGUAAGCCAGAUGUGAAAUCCCCGGGCUUAACCUGGGAAUGGCAUUUGGGACUGCAAGGCUGGAGUGCGGCAGAGGAGACUGGAAUUCCUGGUGUAGCAGUGAAAUGCGUAGAUAUCUGGAGGAACACCGGUGGCGAAGGCGGCGUUCUGGACUGCAACUGACACUGAGGACCGAAAGCCAGGGGAGCAAACGGG